UUUGUGUGUUUCAUACCGAGCAAAUUAUUAUCGCAAAACAAAGAUGGUUUCAGGCGUGGUGGAGUGAAAGCCUCAAAAAGUGGUACAGUUUGAUCAGCUCUCUUCCUGACUUAACCAGGUCGUUGGCUGUAGCGGUGGUGGUGUUGGAGUGGGGACUCCUGGCUGCAGGUGGUGAUGGUGCCCAGAGUGGGAACUCUUGGUGGUACUGGGCCACUGUGGCAGAGGUGGUGCCUGGAACAGAAACUCCUGGCUGCAGUAGGCCUAAACCAAGCGGACUCCAUGAUGCCAAGGACACCAUGCAGAAACUCUAGAGUUGUGUUUGAAGACCUCUUGUACCGAAGAUGACCUCUAUGUAAUUUAUUUUUUAUUCUUUCUGUAACUCAAAAUGGUGCUUGGUUAUGGUGACAAAACAUUGCGGCUUUCUAGAUUUUUGUGACAAUAAAUAAAUAACUCAUGACUUUCUGCUUGAA
Molecule: long non-coding RNA, 470 nt
Organism: Hemiscyllium ocellatum (epaulette shark)
Lineage: Eukaryota; Metazoa; Chordata; Chondrichthyes; Orectolobiformes; Hemiscylliidae
Exons: 2
Source: RefSeq, a predicted model, not a curated record